GAUCGAUCGAUCCAACCGAAUGCAUGGGCCAGCGGGUAGCAUAUGGCGGCACACUAUAAAUUGGAGGCCACCCCUGUGCGUCUCGUCCCAUCCAACUCAUCUCAGGAUCGAGUUGUGUACGUUUGUGUGUGCUGCUCUCUCUGCUACCUUGUGUCGAGAUGGCCGGAGUGGUGAUCACCGGGCGGGCCUUGGUGGCCGCCGUCGCUGUCGUGGUCGCCGUUUUGCUCGGCGGAGCGGCGGAGGCGCAGCAGCUGUCCCCCAACUUCUACUCGAGGACGUGCCCCAACCUGGCCACCAUCGUGCGGUCCGGGAUGGCGUCCGCCGUGCGGACGGAGCCCCGGAUGGGGGCCUCCAUCCUUCGCCUCUUCUUCCAUGAUUGCUUCGUCAAUGUAAUUAAGCAACGCAACAUUAUUUUUAAUUAAUUUUUUUGGCUGGUGCUGUUGCUGAUGAAUGAUCAUGAGCUCAUGAGUUAUGGUUUUAUGGUUGUCUGGUGGGGUUGGUUGCAGGGAUGUGACGGCUCGAUCCUGCUUGACGACACGUCGACGUUCACCGGCGAGAAGAGCGCCGGCCCGAACGCCAACUCGGCCCGCGGGUUCGAGGUGAUCGACGCCAUCAAGACGCAGGUGGAGGCCUCCUGCAAGGCCACCGUCUCCUGCGCCGACAUCCUCGCCCUCGCCGCCCGCGACGGCGUCAACCUGGUCAGUGUACUACAUACGCUGCUCUGACACGUACGUGAAACCACCCGUACGUCACUGAAAUUUUACCAGUGGCUGACAUGUUCUUUUGGUGUGCAGCUGGGUGGGCCAACGUGGAGCGUGGCGCUGGGGCGGAAGGACUCGCGCACGGCGAGCCAGAGCGCGGCGAACAGCAACCUGCCGGGGCCCGGGUCGAGCCUCGCCACGCUCAUCAGCAUGUUCGGCAACCAGGGCCUCUCGGCGCGCGACAUGACGGCGCUGUCGGGCGCCCACACCAUCGGCCGCGCCCAGUGCCAGUUCUUCCGCAGCCGCAUCUACACCGAGCGCAACAUCAACGCCUCCUUCGCGUCGCUCCGGCAGCAGACGUGCCCGCGCUCCGGCGGCGACGCCAACCUCGCGCCGUUCGACGUGCAGACGCCCGACGCCUUCGACAACGCCUACUACCAGAACCUCGUGUCGCAGCGCGGCCUGCUCCACUCCGACCAGGAGCUCUUCAAUGGCGGCUCGCAGGACGGCCUCGUCAGGCAGUACAGCACCAACCCCUCCCAGUUCUCCUCCGACUUCGUCUCCGCCAUGGUCAAGAUGGGCAACCUGCUGCCGUCCUCCGGCACCGCCACGGAGGUCAGGCUCAACUGCAGGAAGGUGAACUAAUUAAGGAUGAUAAACCCCAAUUCCCAUCGCAUUGCAUUUGCAGGUGAUCAUUUCCGAUGAUCACCGUCUUCGCCGACGACCUGGGAACCAAUGCGCCGGUGAGAUAUCAAAACACAAGAAGAGACGAAACGUGAAAUACUUGUUUGAUAAUGUAUUACCACAAAGUGUAAUAAUGUGCGACGCUUAUAUAUGAUGAUAUAUACCAUGGUAAAUUAUCGCAACCACGACAAUGUAUUUUUUUUAUGAUGCAUGAUAAUACAAUCCUUGCUGUUAAA
This 1621-nucleotide long non-coding RNA is filed under the name Oryza sativa Indica Group (long-grained rice). RNAcentral describes it as "lncRNA OsLima_06g0018990". Lineage: Eukaryota; Viridiplantae; Streptophyta; Magnoliopsida; Poales; Poaceae. The record is from RNAcentral.